GGCCUCCCUCUGUGGGGCAAUAGAUUGUGGGGUCCCCAGAUCGAUUGCCCCGCAGAGGGAGACC
Molecule: microRNA precursor, 64 nt
Filed under: Myotis davidii
Lineage: Eukaryota; Metazoa; Chordata; Mammalia; Chiroptera; Vespertilionidae
Description: mir-9242 microRNA precursor family
Rfam family: mir-9242 microRNA precursor family
Source: Rfam by way of RNAcentral